This is a non-coding RNA of Megalobrama amblycephala (Wuchang bream), 545 nucleotides long. Lineage: Eukaryota; Metazoa; Chordata; Actinopteri; Cypriniformes; Xenocyprididae. The record is from the annotation of a RefSeq genome assembly.
GAGUUUGUCAUUUCAUUCCAUCAUGCUGCUCUGUGCACUUGGAAUAUUUGCAGUUCUUGCAGGAGACUCUCUUGGUGAUGUAAUAACAUCUCACGAUUCUGAAAAAGAAGCUCAAGAUGGUAACAGUGUUUCUCUCUCCUGUAACUACAGUGGUUCUGUUAUCAAUCUACUGUGGUAUCGUCAGUAUCAGAGAUCCAAACCAGAACUCCUUCUCUCCAUCACUGAAUCUGGAGAUGCAGUUAAAGCAGAUCCAUCAGCCCACUGGUUUUCUCCUACAGUUGACAAACUCAAAAAGCUCUUGAAACUGGAAAUCAGCCCUGCUAAAGUAUCAGACUCUGCUGUGUAUUACUGUGCUCUGCGGCCCACAGUGACAGGAAACUCUUUUCCUCAGUACAUGAUCUUUCUGCAUAUAUUGCUUAACAAGCACAUGUAUUCUGUGUGUUGUUUCUGUGACAGAAUCAUCCAUCAGUAACUCAAGAAUCUCAAUGAAUUCAAGUAGGCCAACAAACACACAACACAUAUUUCUAUAGAGAAUUAAACCCAUU